UUCAGAGCCCAGACCACAGAAGGUAAAGCGCGCGUGCAAGGAGAGAGAGGAGGAGGGAACGUUGUGCCGCGACGCCUGUUAUUCGUCUCGGUUGCAUGUGUGCGCUUCUCCCGUUGCCGUGAGCGUACUCGGUGCGGGGAUUUUCUCCAUCUCCUCCGCGUAUUCGCACCGACCUAGAUACGCUUACCUGCACUCGCUCCAUCGGGUCCACCUCUAUCCGUCUCUCCCCGCCGCACCGAGCGCAGAGCAGCGAAGCGGUGAGAAGAGGGGGGGGUUGCGGCGGAGCGAGGAAGAAAAGGGAGAGGGCAUGGGCAGAUCGGCCUCGUGACUACUCACUGUGUUGCUUGAGCUCAUUACAGACAGACGCGCGCACACACACACAUACACACACACACACCCGCUCGCGUACAUAUGCCAGAUCGGCUCAAGGGCAUUCUCUUGCAUCGAGAGUGCGAAGAUGAGCUGGAGCAUCAGCAGGCGCGCCAGCAUUCUUCAGGCACUUCAAUGCACAGUGCAACGCCGCUUGCGACGGCGGUUGAAAAGUGUAGCGACACCGUCCAAGUCGCCACAGACGAUUCGCUCCCACCUGCGGUUGUGCUCGCCUCGGGAGCUUCCAGGAGCUCUGCCAGCACCACCAGCAUUAAGCAGAGCACGGGCGCUUUAACUUACUCAGUGGCUACGCCACUGAAUCAGGCCCGCUUGGGCCACCUGACUCAUGCUGGCAGUACCGCGGUGCACACCUGCUCUAGUAAGCACCACUAUUGAACACGACUGCCAAGGCUGCGAUCGACGGCGGCAGUGAGCGUAAACGCCGAAUCGUCGCUCUCAAAGACAGCUGCGGCGGUUUCGGCAGAUGCGCAGCGGUCCAACCCAACGGCUACGCCGGCGCCAACCAUGCCCGAGGGAACCAGCGCAUCGCCCCUGGCAGCAUCUCCCUUGACCUCUUCCGCUGCCUUGCCGCCGCCGUCGUCGCCGCCUCUCGCGGAUUCCGCGACGCUGGCGCUGCCGUUCACGCCGUACCCUGUGCAACAGGAGAUGAUCCGCAUGAUCGCCGACGUUCUCCACUCCGCUAGCCCGCACGUCGUGCCGGUGGCUGUCGUGGAGGUACCGACAGGGUGUGGUAAGACUAUGGCGCUGCUAUCCAGCGUUCUGCGGUACCAGCAGGAGCUAAAGCGCAAGAGCCCCAAAGAACUUGAUGCAUAUCUGCGUCAGCGGCGGCCGUCAGGGGAGAAGCGAAAGGCGCCCCCGAAAGGACGUCGGGGUCAGCGAGGUCCACAGCAGCGCGGUGCCGCACGUCUUGCACCAGUCGCGGGCGGCGACAUCGAUGCCAACGAGGGGGACACGGACGACGAGUGCACGGACGGCUGGUCGGUUCCACCAUCGUUCUUCAAGCAUUUUCGGGUCAACUCACAGCGGAAAAUCCGUGCGGAGCUGGACGUGGCCGGAUCGCAAGAGCUGCGCCGUCGCUUCCUGCCGCCGCCCUGCACAGUUUACUACGUCACGCGCACGCACGCGCAGCUUCGGCAGGCGGUGCGUGAGCUGCGCCGGCUGCAUGGUGCGACAAGUGCUAUUCGCAUGAACAUCCUCGGCAGCCGAGAGCGCUACUGCAUCCACCCCAAGGUGAUGGCGUCCAAGGCGAACCACACGUUGCCUGUACAGGGCAACAACCUGGGCGAGGUUUGUGACAAGCUCGUGUCUCUGGGGCUCUGCGAGAUGGUGGACAAGUACGACGAGCUCUCGUGUAGCGCCAUUACGGGGCCGGUCGGACAUCAGCGUGGCCAGAUAUGGGAUAUGGAGGAUCUCGUGCUGGAGGGAACCUCGCGCCACAUGUGCCCCUACUACGCCGCUCGCGACCUGGUCUUCUACGCCGAUGUCAACUUCUGCACCUACCCGUACCUGCUAGACCCGCUCAUUCGCCACGAGACGAAGAUGGAGGCAGCCCUGAAAAACAACGCAGUUGUCGUCUUCGACGAGGCGCACAACGUCGCGGCGGUGUGCCAGGACGCGCUUUCGCUGGAGUGCCCACGAGCCGUGCUGGCUCUCAUCCUGUCAGAGCUCGAGCCCCUCGUGUCGAACCAAGUGCCCCUGGCACGCCAACCAUUGAGUGCGGCUUCUUCCACCGCGGGCGUGGCGCAAGAUGACUUUGCCGCCAUGCAAUAUCCACGAGAGCUGCACCUCGGUGCCUUCACCUUGGAGGAGAUCUUCUCCUUUCUGUGCACCCUCUUCCAGUCUCUCAGCGUCUUCUUCGACGUCGCGAUGGAGGCGGCGGACGAUCGUGAACGGCGAGGUAAAAAGCGCCACCGCGGCGACGAGAAAGGUGAGGGCGACGAACACAACGGCAGGGACUGCGGGGCCGCCUACAUGCAGGGCACUCAGCUCGAGCACCACCUGCGGCGCGAUAUGGAGGCCCACGUCGCGGCAUAUCGGCAGCGCACGGCGGCGCAGCGGCAUUUUGCAGCGCCGGCCCCAGCGCUCGCGUCGCUGGAGCUCUUCCAGCGCGCCUACGGCGUCAUCAUGGCUCUCGGUGUCACAUUCAAUCCGUUUCUCUUCUCUGUUUUCGGCCUCUCGACGCUGAAGCGGUGGCUCCUGCUGCUCCGUUUUCUGCUUCAGAAGCCGCAGUCCUUCGCUGUUGCGGUGCGGUCGGCGCCGCCUUGGGAUGGACUUGCCCAGAGCGGCAGCGACACUGAGCGUUCGCUCUUUGGCGCGCGCUCUGCUGCUGCAGCCGUUGCCGAAGCGCAUCUGGCGGCGGGUGGUGACAGUGGUGCGGCCCGUACCCAUGCGGUCGUUGCGCAGUGGACGAUCGACCUGCGGUGCCUCGACGGAAGCCUUGCCUUCUCGUACCUCCUCAAGACGGUGCACCGUGUCGUGCUGGCCUCCGGCACGCUCUCCCCCUUCCCCCAGCUGGCUCGUGACUUGGGCGUGGAGGCCUCCCUGUGGCGCACGUUGGAGGGCCUGCACGUGGUGCCUCCAACUCAAUACAGCCUAACUGCGCUGACCGCUCUGCCUGUGUCGUCGUCAUCGACACAUGAUGGGACGACGACGCAGCCGCUGCUGUUGCCACUGCGUUGUACGCACGCCUCUCUCUCGAACCCAGUCUUCCUCAAGACGGUGGCACGCGCCGUGGUUCAGCUAACACAGACAUUGCGUGAGAGCAGCGGCGGCGGGGUGCUGCUCUUUGUGCCUAACUACGCCGUUCUAACGGCAUUGGCGAAGCUGACGCGCGAGGUACUGCUUGUGGCGCAGCGGGAGCAGCAGCAUCAAUCGCCGCACGCCGCAGCGCCGACCCAACUGUUUCUGGAGCCGCGCAAGGCCGAGGCGCUGACGGAGGUUCUCUGCCAGUUCCAGAACUGCACGCAGGCGCCUCGCUGCGGCACUGCGCUCUUGUUCUCUGUGUACCGCGGCAAGGUGAGCGAAGGACUCGACUUUACGGACGACAUGGCGCGCCUGGUGCUCUGCCUUGGGCUGCCGCUGCAGCCAUUGAAGUCGUGGAAGGUCAUCGCGCAGCGCGCCUACAGCGGCUCGGAUUGGUAUACAACGGAUGCUGUGCGCGCCGUAAAUCAAGCUCUGGGUCGUUGCCUGCGCCACACGAAGGACUACGGCGCUGUAGUGCUGCUGGACGAGCGGUACGCGCAGCCAGAAUACCAGGAACGGCUGUCGAAGUGGUGCCGUGCAACACUGCAGACAGAGUCGUCGUUGCCGCAACUCUGCGCGGGGCUGCGGACGUCGUUUACGCAAUGGCGUCGGGCGUUCGGUGCACUUGCCAUGAGCACCUCCCCGUUGCCGACUCCCUCAGCGGCAGCGGAUCGUGCGGUGCCCUGGGACGACAUUGGAGGGGUGGCCCACCAGGAUGCGGCGAGUUUAGCACGAACUCGGCUGGGCACGGAGCAGCUUCCUUUUACACGGGUGCUGCGUGCGCCAUCAGCGGCGUGGUGGCCUCAUCGCACUGUUGGCCCCGCAUUGGACGCCACCGCGAGUGAUUCGUCGCCUCAGAGGAGUGGUGCGGCUCGGCUGGCUCGUACGGUUCCCGGCGCUGGCGCUGGUGCUCGGCAAAGUGCCACAGCCGGCGCUGGCCUGCCUCACUCGCCUCUCGCCUGCACUGCUGUGAAGUUGCUGUACGAAACCGCCGCCGCCACUGGCGAUGUCUCGCGGCAGGUCUUGCAGGAUGCCAUUCAAUCUCUGACGAAGAACUUCUUUGACAGCAGCGGCAGUGGGGAGGAGGAGGAGGAGGGGGAGGAUGCUUUUGAAUGAGGAGCGUGAUCAGGACUUGGCCUGUCGCUCUCCACUGCCCCCCCCUCCCCAUCCCCAUCCCUAGCCCCCAACGAGGUCGGGAAAAGAAAGCAUACGACCAUCGGUGCCGUCUUCUGAGGUGUUGCCUCUGCUUC
This 4382-nucleotide unclassified non-coding RNA is filed under the name Leishmania donovani. Its description in RNAcentral is "gene:LdHU3.28.2260(CDS-product:helicase-like_prot ein)". The record is from RNAcentral. Lineage: Eukaryota; Euglenozoa; Kinetoplastea; Trypanosomatida; Trypanosomatidae.